Anguilla rostrata (American eel) is the source of this 7462-nucleotide long non-coding RNA. RefSeq lists it as uncharacterized. NCBI's taxonomy places the organism in Eukaryota, Metazoa, Chordata, Actinopteri, Anguilliformes, Anguillidae. The transcript has 2 exons. The record is from RefSeq and is a predicted model, not a curated record.
CACACACACCUACACACACACAUACACACAUGCACACACACACAUACACAUGUGCACACACACCUACACACACACAUACACACAUGCACACACAUCUACACACACACAUACACACAUGCACACACGCACACACACACACACUUUCGGCCACAGUGGGUCCCACUGUGAGGAUGGAUACUGUGAGAGUUGAUUAAACGCUGGACGUUUUACUGUGUGUCAUGCAAACUGCAUAUGUAGGCCUGAAAAUCUGCACCCACUAAACAUGAGUGCUCUAGCCCCUCCCAGGGAGCAGAAUCUAGAGAGGCAACGGCCACAGAUCUUUAAGCUCCAGCACCUCCAAAGGAAACAUUAUCUUCCCCUUGCCUGUCCUUUCAUCUGUAAUAACACUCUUCUGCAGUGAUGCUGGUGCUUUUCUCCCUUAUGCAACGGGCCUGAAUUACAGCUGAACAUUUUUGUGAAAAAUAAUGUGUAUAAUUUACCACUCGGAAGCGGUGCCUUAGGAAAGACUAAAGCCGCUCCGUGGAGCAAGCUGCGUUAUUCAUCGCUCUGCGAAUCACAUGUGCAGUCAUCAGGCUCUAACGCCCGCGGUUGUCCCUGUUAUGCAAUUUGAAAUCAGUUGUUUGUCAUUAACAAAAGGAAGAGCAGUGUCAUUACGUCCCCUGUGACAACACAGCGUGCGCUUUGCAGUGUGCGCUUUGCAGUGUACGCUUUCCAGACUACACUCAGUCUCGCUGGCUUUGGCUGUGCUGUUUAUAGACGAGCGUGACCUCUGACCUUUCCCCAGAAUGCAGAAGGUAUCCACGGACCGCCCCUGGUGUUCCUGGGGCAGGUCCUUCAGAUUAGCUUGUGUCUGAGCGUCCCCUUCCUUCCAUUUUACCCUGCCAGGUCGUCACUCCCCCCCGCCCCCCCAAAAUCUCACCAGGGCACUCCACUGGUCUGAUAAAUAUUGUUCAGAUAGUUCUGCAAGAACACAGUGCUAUACAUGUCAACAACACUGGGCAAUGUUUAGGGUGGAUUUAGUUUCUCUUCCACAGAGUGAGAAAAGUAAGAUAUUAAUCUGCAAGUACAAUAAUGAAAUGGAGAAAUAUGAGAUUUUACAUCUUAAUUUGCAGGUUUAAUUUCCAAUUACUCAGGGUGGCUCAAGGAAAAAAAACAAAGAUGAGAAAUAUUUUCAGGCUGAAGCACCUUGACUGAACGAUUCUUUUAAACAAAUAUAAACAACAAGCAGCACGUUUCCUUUGAACAUACAGGGCAGAACGUAUCACACUGCUCCAGAUAUGUGUGACCAGUUUCACUCUUUGCUUAUGCAUGUAUGGCAGUGUACUAAAUGAAUCCAGACCAGGAAAGCUACAGACACUGUUUAAAAUUGGUUAAAUAUUUGUGCCUACAUAGUCACACAUUUUGCAAUAAUUAAUAUUUAAGAGAGUGAAUGGAUUGAUAAGUUGCCAAGUUCCUUUAUAUGAAUCAUAACAUCUCGACAAAGGUUUAUAUUAACAAUGAGACAUUUAAUAUAAAAGGAGAAGAAGAAAGUUCAGUUGGAACAUUUGAGUACCCAGAUUUAUAACGUUAUUUCCUAAUAUGCUGGUUUGGCGUCCCCAGACAAAUAUGGAACCAGAUAUCAAAUACAAAAUUGGAGCGAGACCAGUUUGAUUCUUGUCUUACAAAAAUAUAAAUAUAGAACCUUUACAAGGAAAGAAGGGAACAGCACAUUUGGUGAUCACAGUUUGUUUCAGAAGUAGGCACUGUUUAGGCAGAGUUACUAUGUCCUUUAAUUUAUACCAAUCUUUUUUAUCAUUGGCUUUUAAAAACAGACAAACAUACUGUGUGAGUUGAAUGUCUAUAACUGGAUCAAGGUGAAAGACUAAUUCUUGGAAAAAAAAAGUUCAAAGUUAAAAAUAUCAAAUAAUAUAGUGAAAAUUGAAGUAUUCAAAAACCAAUAAACCAAACAUAUUACAUAAGCUAUAUCAGAUAAUAAAUAAUAACCUUUUUGUUUGUUUGUUUUAAAUUAAAAGUCAACAGUUAUACAUUUUACUGCUUGGGAAAACUGCCAUGAACUGCGACUGUUAAAAAUGUUGGCUUUUUAUUUUUAAAUACUGUGUGUUCUUGAAAUAAUGCUCACGUCUUCUUGUGCAGUGGAAAUACAGUAGAAUUUUUUUUUCAAGGAAAAUGUUCUUUUCAAUUCUCUUUGUAAAACAGAAUGCCAAUUGAUCACCAAUCCAGGAUAGGAUUGGAUUAGGUGUGUGGAAGUGCGGACAAUCAGCUUGACAAGGUGAUGCUUACCGUUGCCAAGCAACACAGCACUAUUUACCUGUCAUUGCUUUGCUCUGUCGUAUGGGUCAUUGGCUGUCUUUAGGUAUAAAACUUGUAGAAGGCCCACCCAAGCAAGAGAUUGGUCAUCUAAAAAAAUGAGGUGAACAAUAAUAAUGCAGACAACAGAAAAAAACAAGCAAAAAUCUUCUUUUUAAAAAAGAAAAUCAUUUGAACAUGUAUUUCUUUUCAUUUAGCGACUACCAUAGCUGCCCAGAUAGGACACAAGCAGUAAUAGCUUCUUAGCUGAAUAAUAUACUAUGCAUUUAUGUAGCGCUUUUAUCCAAAGCGCAUUACAAUUGAUGCCUUGCCUCUCGUUCACCCAUUCACACACACACACUCACACACUAACGGUGAAAGGCUGCCAUGCAAGGUACCAAUCAGCUCGUUGGGAGCAAUUAGGGGUCAGGUGUCUUGCUCAGGGACACUUCAAAAUGCCCAGGGCGGGGGAUCGAAUCGGCAUCCCUCCGACUGCCAGACAAACGCUCUUACCUCCUGAGCUAUGUCGCCCCUGUAAUAACAUAACAUAACCUAAUGACAAGAACAAGCCAUUCAGCCCAAAAAUACUCACCAUUUUCUGACUAAAUUUGUGCUCUGAUUACCUACAGACUAGAUAAUAUCUAACAACUUAAUAAUUGUCCAUUAUUGUAAGAUGGUCUUUACAGUUACACAAAAAUUCUGGGCUUUCCUCUUCCUGUUUGUAUACAGUGUUUUAUUCUAAUGUGCGAUCCAUUAUUUUUAAGUUCAGCUCAAGUGUCUUUGAAGCGGUCAGUGAAUCAUUUUCACAUUUUCCCCACGGUGACACAAAUUUUUUUUUAUUAAAAAUCGUUAUUAUUUAUUAUUUAUUCCUUCUGUAAAACAUUUUCCCACUGAAAAUUACCGCAUGACAAACAAUAGUAAAAGAAAAUGUUGUCUAACUGCAAAUGUCUGUCUCAGCAUAGGUGGGCUGUACCUGCCAUGUACCUGGCAUCACGUCCCAGGUGUGACAUGGACCUGUGCGGACCAAUCAAAAUAGAGUGCCAGUCUCACAAAUAUGCUUCAUUUUGUCUUUUACGUAUGACACCUGACUUGGAAGGGACCAGAUGUGCCAGUAUGCAAUAUGUAGUUAUCCAGCCUGUAAUGACCAGUAUCAGCUAAUUUUUCUCCAUGUCGUAGGGUGCAGCAAACAAGAACUUUUUUAAAAUGCUGAUUAGUGUUUUAAAGUUGGAGUACUGUACAUUUCUGUGCAAAAUGUAAUGCAUAACAUUGAUGUGUGUACAUCUUACACUGCAAACACCAAGCAAACUGCGAAACUGAUAUGCUUUUCUGUUCGGCCCUAGCCGGUCGGUCUGUGUCACACUUACAUGACAUUUCAUUUUAUUUGGCAGAUGCUUUUAUCCAAAGCGACGUACAAUGAGUGCACUCGUGCAUGAUAAUGGGCAGCCUGUCUUGUCCUAAUUUCAUGCAAUGAACUGAAUCAGUCAGACAAUGAAAUUCAUGAAAAAGGUCGUGUGAGAAACACCUGAAUAGCAAUACUGCCAUAAACAUUUCAUAUUAAAAAGCAGCAGCGGUUUUAUCCGCGCGCCGUAAAAGUGCUCCUUAUAUUGAUUUCAAUUAUAUCAUUUAUAACUAGUACGUGACACAAUCAUACACAAUUCAUUUUACGCGUUGUUUUGUUUGCUUUUCUUCUCUUGGUGAACGCAGCUCAGCAAGUUCAAAGGUCAGAAAUUUAACGUGAUUGUUUCAUUUGAUUCAUCGCGGCCGCAAAAAGGUAGCACCUGACUUUAUUCAUAUAUAAAAGAGACAUGUUUUUUGGUUCCCAGGGAAGAAUUAAGCUCUUCUAUUCUAUUCUAUUCUAUUGAACCAAAGGGUGAAUUUAGCCAACUCUUGACCAGCCACCAACAAUAGCUACAGCAGUCUUGUUUGUGAUAUGGUCACGUGACGCAGUGACAUUACGAGUUCUCCCCUCGCCCUCUGACGCAUGGUAUUCCCUGGAAUGUCGUGAUGCAGGGAGACCUGGGAGGAACGCCGUUCCGUUCCACCGCACCCACAAGCAGUUCCACGGCGCCCUGACCCCAAACCCGCAUUUGCACAUUGAGUGCAGUGGCGUGAGGAAGAUGAGCGGCUUCAUCACGAGAAGCAAUUCUGCGCGACAUCAUCUAGCUCGCUCCCACGACCUCGACUGCAUAACUUCAGUGGCCUACUGAAGUCAAGAUGCUAUCCGGAGAGCUCUAAUCUGUCUUUAUCGCCAUGCCAACGACAUAAACAAAAUAGGGGAAAAACCACCUUGGGGAACGAGGUUUUAUUUGAUAUAUUCUUCGCUGAUACAGUGCUCCCUGUUAUUCCCCCCCCCCAAAAUAGCUGUGGUGAGGCUGUAGGCAAUGCACUGUGCGGCUGAUCGCUAAUAGAAUCAGCUGCUGACGGACAGGUACAGAGAUGUGGGUGAUGCGUACAGAGGAUACCAUAAGGCGCCGCUUGCCUCCCCGGUCUUCCCCAAGCCCACGCGUCCCGUCCCCCGUCCCGUCCCCCGUCCCCCCCCGGAGAAAUUUCUCCUCCAGUCGAGGCAGUUUUCCAGCUGCUGGAAUGCUGGGCAGAGAAGCUACAUUCACCCGGAUGUUAUGACAGAGGAACCGGACUGUCACAGUGUCAGCGACUCAACACUGUGUGAGUGAGACAACAUGGGCUCUGACAAGGUCCCUGACCCGACAGCUUCGCUGACAAAGGGGGCAGAAAUCUAACGGACAGCUGGAGCCGCCUGACCGGUUAUAAAAUAAGCCCCUGAACAGUGUUCCUAGCACCCAGCUGCUGCGCUGUAUGACUGAGUGCCAGCUGUUGUGCCAUAGGGCUAGGCUGGGGUAGGGGAUACAUGGGCCAUACACUGCAGAGGGCUUAAUCCUCCCAGUAAUUACGUCCCAUGCACAUAUUUGUUAAUAUACCCAACAAUGAUACGUUUUUUAUUGAGAAAAGGAAACUAUGAACUACAUCAAGACAACAUUCGGAGGUAUCUAGUCCUGUUGGACCACAUCAGCUUGUUUUAAUUGACUUUCGUACAGAAUAUACAUCUGCCCCUUGGCAAAGUUUGCCUGUUGUACUUCCUUCGCUUAUGCUGCACACGACAGCUGUUAACACAGCUGGCUUGCAGUUUUAAUUCAGUGUCUCACUCUCACAUAUUAUCAGUCAAACGAGCAUGAGAACUGCAAGAGAAAAUUAUGAAAACAAGAUGGCCGAGCUAUCAUUUAUGUCUAUGCAUGUAUGUUUUUAUUUAUGUCUAUGAAUACGUGCGGUCAUUGUGGAUCUGCUUCCACACUGAAAAUCUUAUCCAAUUAGUUCUAGGCAAGUUAGUAUUAAAUCUAUUGUCACCUGCUGUGGUCAGCAAAUCAUAGCUGUAGUUUGCCUGUGUUCUGUUGCUUCUUAGUAUAAUGCAAAUGUACCUUUCUGCACUGUUCCUUUAAGAGUCCUUGUGAAUGAAAAUAAUUUCCACAGAUUAUUAGUUCACUUCCUCAGAAAAGUAUACAAAAGCUAUGGCUGCAUCGACGGAUCGUCAAAGAUGAGCUUUUGUUAAAGGGGAUUGCUAUAUUGAUUUUAAAAUGUUAUAUUGUUGUAUUGAUUUUAAAGUGUACAGUGAAAUAAAAUUUCACUCUCUAUAUCUUAGUUGAACGAUGUACACAAAGCACUCGGGUAUUCUUCUCUUACCUGAGCUCUUAUAUUAUCUAAAUAUAUUGCCUGAUGUCUUUUUUUGUGGUUAGCUGCUGGUCCCACCAAAUUUUUUUCACACAUGCCCAAAUCUACUUCCCAUCACCAUGGUGACAACUCCCUUCCUAUCCGGUUUGACUGUGUGUGUUUCUGUGUGUGUGUGUAUGUGUGUGUGUGUGUGUGUGUGCGUGCGUGUGGGAGUGUGUGUGUUUGUGCAUGUAUGUGUCUGUGUGUGUGUCUGUUUGUGUAUGUAUGCGUCUGCGUGUGUUAGUGUGUGUGUGUGUGCAUGCGCAAGCAAAUAAAAGACAGAGGCGGAAGGAAAGGGUGUGAAAGUGACUGUAGCGCACAAAGAGAGAUCAAUCUUCAGCUCUCUGACAAGAUCAUUUAGCACAGCGGUGCAUAACUCCGGUCCUGCAGGGCCGGUCUGCGUGUGGGUUUUUGUACCAACCAAUUAUAUUUAUUUUAGUUUUCUGACGGCUCUGUAGACGACACUGGCUCACUCCCGUUCUUGAGCACAGUAAAGUCAGUAAAGACACUUUUGCAGCUGUAGCUUGUGCUUUCAGAAAAACCUCAGGUCAAGAUAUGACCUGAUACUGAGAUACUGAGAUAAUUAAAAAAUGAAAAGCACAAGUUGGCACAAAAUCCUGAAAUGGAUCGACCCAUGUUGUGCACCACUGGCUUAGCAGACUCUGAAGUGGACUGCCCUUGAAGAAAAAAAAAACGAAACACAACACUAAAUCUUACAGGCUGUGCCCAUGAAUGUCAGCAGUGCAGCUCCAGUCUGCCAGAAGGUCAACACAGAAAAAAAGUCUGUCUCACAGUAAGAAGUGUCUUAGUCUUGUAAUGAGAUUUAAAAUAAUUUUUCUUCUAACAUAGAAAAUAUUAGCUUGUUUUUUUUGCUACUUUUUGUUACAUUUGCAUUUUCUAACCCCGUUGGCAAAUCUUGAAAUGAGUCUAACUAUCUCCCCUCCUCAGCAAUCUUUUGUCUUAUUUAGCAAGAAAAGUCUAAAUAUGUGAUACCUUAAAAUAUAUUUACCUAAAUAUACCUUAAAAUACUUGUUAAGGUUGACUUAUUUUUUGGUUUUUGCAGUGAAUGAAGAGGUGACAUGGAAUAGAAUUAAGGACGGAAAGAGUUUUGGGAUUUAACGUAUUCCCUCUUACAGGGAGUUUCAUCACGUUGUCAUGAAAAUAUUCAACAAGUACCCGACCCGAACGGAGAGAAAAUAAAUUGAUAUGGAUGCGAGAACCUGUCUGAACAGCCUGUCUGCAGAACCCGGGGAUUUGAUUUGGCAAAAGAGGCAGCCCUUUAAGUGUACCCAAUUACGGUUGAUCAGUGAUUCACAUUCAGACCUUUCGCAAAACCGCAUUUCGCACAUUAAGCUGGAGAGCCUCAGGGUGUGAGCGUCAUGGACGCCAGGAAACGGUCCCUUUUAAAUACACACUCCCCGUUUCUUUAUGUAUGAAAAUAAAGGAACGUCUUUGA